CUGGUACACCUGUGCAUGUGUGUGGGCAGGCCAGAGGCUGACAUCAGGUAUCUUCUUGAUCUCUCUUCAUUUACUGAGGCAGGACAUCUCAUUGAGCCUGGAGCUGUUAUGUGGGUGCUGGGAUUCACUCUACAAGACCAUCUGAUCCACCGCUAGGCUGGAGAGAUGGCUCAGCCGUUAAAGGCUAGGCUCACAACCAAAAAUAUAAGACGGUCGGUUACAUCUACAAUUCACACUCUUGUCUCACACUUUCCUAGUGAGCAUUUUGUCCACAGAGUCAUCUCCCCAGUCCCCUUUGUUCCUUCUUAAUUUACUUUCUACUCAAAGUCCUCUAUUCCACAAAUGUCCACUGAAAUAGCUGGGCACUUCUCUGGGAUCUAAACCAGUCUACCGUCUGCCAUGACUUCCCAGCCUUUGGACUGAGGUCAAGAGCUAACAUUUGUUUCAGUGUUUCUUAGCGGCUGGCCUUGAUGACUUCCUCUCCCAUCUGUCCUUCUUCCUCCUUUGUUCCCACUCACCUCUGCUCUCUCAGAACUUGCCAUACACUCUGAUCCCAGCAGUAUCCUGACAGAACUCGGGGCAGCUUCCUUCUUGACUUUCAUAAUACCUCCUGGCAUAGGAGGACCUCCCACCCUUCUGUGCAUUGGGCACGUGAUAGGCUCUUAAUAAAGUACACCAAAUGAAUGGACAAAUGCCAAAUCUUUUAAAGGUAUUUAUAAGUCACGUGCUGGUCGAGGAUUGACCAAGAAAAGGUAAACAAUCAGAGUAGUUUAGUGUGGAUCUCAUUGUUGACUUUGAGGGUCAUGGCUGAGCACAGAGAGAAGUUGAAAGAUAAAAUACCAGAUGUAGAAAAUGCUAACUUUUAAAUGUUUAAAAAAUUUUUGAAUCUUAUCCAAGUUUUUCCCAGAGAGAAGGAAAAGAAAGUGUUGUUCUCAGAGAUGUUUAUCUUGUUUCCAGGGCAACGGAGUCAAUACUCACCAGAGAGGAGAGAAAUGGAGACAGUCAUACAGAGUGGCUCCUGAGUUCCAACUAAGUCACUGAAGACAUAAAACAAAUGAGACUUUCCUAAAAGAAGCGUAACUAUGAAAACCAAAGGAAAGGAAGUCGGUUAUCUGAGCAAAAUCACUCAUGGUGGAAGCUGAGAUGAUGGUGCACUGUUGAGGAUUUCUGUGAAUGGUCAACCCUGUUGAUGCUUACAGCAGGGAGACUUAUCGAGUUAGAACUGUGUGCAAGAACCAUCUCCCAGCCGGAUGGUGGUGGGAGGCAGAGGCAGCCAGAUCUCUGAGUUCGGGCCAGCCUGGUCUACAGAGUGAGUUCCAGAACAGUCAGGGCUACAUAGUAAAACCCUGUCUGAAAAUAAACAAACAAACAAAACAACAACAACCAGGGAACCGUCUCCCACAGCUGAUUGUGAAAGCCCCACAUGGUGUGUAAAGGAACAUGGCCACGGGCUGUCCCUAAGAGGCUGGUUCACCUCUUCUUACUGUUCUCUGGACCACAGUACUCCCAUUUCAUUCCCCUCUGGAGGAAAUUUCAGAUGUAGCACAGAGACAUUGUGCCAGGAAAUGGCACAGCUAAGGGCCAAACCAGGGCAUCUGGCUCCAGACUGUCGCCUUGGUCACACAGCCUUUAACGGUGGGAUGGACAAUAUGUAAGUAGGAGAUGGAUGAAGGUAACACUCCUGGACAGGGUGCUGUGGACUUCACUUUCCACCCCAAGCCAGGACAGGCCAGUGUACGAGGCUGGUUUGUGGAAAGCUGUAAGUGUAAUAGACAUAUGAAUGCUGGCCAAACUUAGAACAGGUAUAGACUUGAAGCUUCUACUCCCAAUGUUAAGUAGUGAAAUAAACAGCUCUGUUCUUGGCCUAACCCCAGUUUCCUGCUUUUCAGUUGGAUAAAGAUCAAGGCUCUCUUGAUUUAGGAUUACAGGAUCAAGGGACAUGACAAGGCCUGUUAAGCCAUCAGAGACUUUUCAGUGACUCUGUGAGGGACCACCUGUGGAAGGAUGCCAUGUCUAUAUCAACAGCUCUAGAGGGUUCUGUGGAGCCAGGAGCUUCUCUCAGUGAACGUCUGCUCAGUGGUUACCAAGCUUCAGAGCUGCUCUUCUGGCUCACUCUGUUGUGACAAGGCCAUUCUUCAUGUGACCUGUGCCAUUCUUCAUGUAGCUUUGGUGGAGGAGAAACAGGUUAAAAACAACCAAUAGACAGAACAGACCAUCUGAGCAGACGAGGUUUCAUCUGAGAGAGAAAGAAGACCGGGAAGUUGCCCAUGGAGAUAAGCACACAGAUUCGAUUUCCUAUCCAUUGCAACUCCAGGAGGAAGCAGUUGCCUUCACAGCUGGAGGAAUAGGAUGCUUGAAGGGAUAAAGGAACCCGGAGUGGAGUUUAACAUUUGCUGAGGGAGAUGCUUUGAGUGGUGGAUUCUAGUAUUUGCAGGAUGACUUGAUGAUCGUCUCUUCUUUCCCUGCCUUUCAGUGCCAUCUCAGUACUGCUGUCCUCACACCUUACAACAUCUCUCUCGACACUUCUCAUGUGAGCACUCUGAACUUCCAGAGUGAAUGACCUUGAAGACCUUUGAACACCCGCCAUCCCCUGCUUUAUUUUUUGUUCAGCUCUGGUUAAAGGUUUUCAUUGAUUCAAGAUGUGCCUUUUCCAUUUGCAACUCCUGAGUCCGGGAUGACUUCUGUUCUCAGCUUUCCUGUUUGCUCAAGACUCUGAAAGGCAAACUGAAAGAUGGUGAACGAUGAGCAUCCGAGUCUACCGUGUCCGGGCAAUCAGUGGAAAGAGGAUUCCCUGUAAAGCUGGGAACAGCGCGCAGAAGAGGCCACAGUGUCUCCCUCGGAGGGAGGCUGUGAAGAAAAGCUCGGCCUGCCUUAUGGUUGGGCUGCCAACCCUGUUUGUUUGCCUCUACCACGCUGUAGCCACAUCUGCUUUCCACUAACGUGUGGGGGAAGCAGUUGUCCCCUUGGACCUCUGAACAUAAUCUGUCUGUGGGGUUUACAUUGUUUCCUGGCAGACUCAGUUUUUGUGCGUUUGUUUCAGGAAGAAAGGGUUUAGUGUGUGUCUUUAUUUCUGAAAAAUUCAAUUGAACAAAAUGGUACAUGGUUUCUCUCAACCUUUUAAACCGGUCUCAGAUUUGGAUACAGUGUUUAUUUGUGCCGUUGUGAGUCAGGAUGGAUCUGAAAGGCCAGAAGACACCUGAACUUUUGACUCUACUCUGAGGCUCACACAGUCCAGUGUGCAUUGUUCUAUCUUAAAAAUGGAAAACAAGGAACUAUUCAUAUCUUGUUCUCAGAGCCUUUCCCCCUCUUGGAGACUGUGCCUCCCACCAAAUGCUUCUAAACACCCCAGGAAACCACCGCAUCAUUGUGAACAGACUAAUCGCCACACACCACUUGGUUUUCCUUCCUGGACGUCAUGGGCCAGAACCCUGUGGUUCCCACGUUGUUUCUGUCAUCGUCCCCAGGAGUGUUAGCUCUUAUCCUGAGUCCAGGCGGGACAGCCCGUCUCAACUCCAGCCCUUAUGUAAGUGGCUGUGGGGAGAACCGGUAAUAAACAAACAAAAUUUUUCUA
Long non-coding RNA from Peromyscus californicus insignis, 3571 nucleotides. RefSeq lists it as uncharacterized. The transcript is spliced from 7 exons. Lineage: Eukaryota; Metazoa; Chordata; Mammalia; Rodentia; Cricetidae. The record is from RefSeq and is a predicted model, not a curated record.